CUGCUAAGCUAUCGCUGCCAACCUAUCUAUCGCUGCCAACCUAUCUAUCGCUGCCAAUUUAUCUACCACUGCCAAUCUAUCUAUUGCUGCUAAUCUAUCGCUGCUGUCAAUCUAUCUAUCGCUGCUAAUCUAUCGCCGCUGCCAAUCUAUCCCUCACUGCUAAGCUAUCCCUCGCUGCUAAGCUAUCACUGCCAAUCUAUCACUGCUAAUCUAUCGCUGCCAACCUAUCUACCGCGGCGAAUCUAUCUAUCGCUGCCAAUUUAUCUACCACUGCCAAUCUAUCUAUCGCUGCCAAUCUAUUGCUGCUAAUCUAUCGCUGCUAAUCUAUCGCUGCUGCCAAUCUAUCUAUCGCUGCUAAUCUAUCGCCGCUGCCAAUCUAUCCCUCGCUGCUAAGCUAUCCCUCACUGCUAAGCUAUCCCUCACUGCUAAGCUAUCUCUCACUGCUAAGCUAUCCCUCGCUGCUAAGCCAUCCCUCACUACUAAGCUAUCUAUCACUGCUAAUCUAUUGCUGCCAACCUAUCUAUCACUGCCAAUCUAUCUAUCGCUGCUAAUCUAUCGCUGCUAAUCUAUCACUGCUAAUCUAUCGCUGCCAACCUAUCUAUCGCUGCCAAUUUAUCUACCACUGCCAAUCUAUCUAUUGCUGCUAAUCUAUUGCUGCUGCCAAUCUAUCUAUCGCUGCUAAUCUAUUGCUGCUGCUAAUCUAUCUAUCGCUGCUAAUCUAUCGCUGCUAAUCUAUCGCUGCUAAUCUAUCGCUGCUAAUCUAUCGCUGCUAAUCUAUCGCUGCCAACCUAUCUACCGCGGCGAAUCUAUCUAUCACUAUCAUUACUAGUUCAAAAUAGAACUAGAGCAUAAAUACACUAAACUUCUUUUGAUAGGUAAUGAUUUUUGGUAACGCUCAUAGCAUUAUAUCAUCUAUAUAGGGUAAAUCAUGGUUCCAUUUGGUCCCAUUUUAACAAAAUGGGACCAAAUGGGACCAGAAUCAGUAAUUUAUAAGAAGAACAUGACCUGAGACUAGAUUUAUAAUAUAAACAGUGUAAAGUGACUAAUUUAAUAAACACUAUAUGGAAUC
Molecule: small RNA, 1069 nt
Filed under: Histoplasma ohiense
Lineage: Eukaryota; Fungi; Ascomycota; Eurotiomycetes; Onygenales; Ajellomycetaceae
Description: hypothetical lncRNA
Source: RNAcentral